RNAcentral lists this ribosomal RNA (492 nucleotides) under uncultured Lachnospiraceae bacterium. Its description in RNAcentral is "bacterial SSU rRNA". It matches the Rfam family "Bacterial small subunit ribosomal RNA", at positions 1023 to 1515 of the family's 1533-position model. Lineage: Bacteria; Bacillati; Bacillota; Clostridia; Lachnospirales; Lachnospiraceae. The record is from RNAcentral.
GGAGAGGAGUGACAGGUGGUGCAUGGUUGUCGUCAGCUCGUGUCGUGAGAUGUUGGGUUAAGUCCCGCAACGAGCGCAACCCUUAUCUUUAGUAGCCAGCGGUUCGGCCGGGCACUCUAGAGAGACUGCCAGGGAUAACCUGGAGGAAGGCGGGGAUGACGUCAAAUCAUCAUGCCCCUUAUGACUUGGGCUACACACGUGCUACAAUGGCGUAAACAAAGGGAAGCAAAGCUGUGAAGCCGAGCAAAUCUCAAAAAUAACGUCUCAGUUCGGACUGUAGUCUGCAACCCGACUACACGAAGCUGGAAUCGCUAGUAAUCGCAGAUCAGAAUGCUGCGGUGAAUACGUUCCCGGGUCUUGUACACACCGCCCGUCACACCAUGGGAGUUGGGAAUGCCCGAAGCCAGUGACCUAACCGAAAGGAAGGAGCUGUCGAAGGCAGGCUCGAUAACUGGGGUGAAGUCGUAACAAGGUAACCAAGGGCGAAUUCUG